RNAcentral lists this ribosomal RNA (354 nucleotides) under uncultured fungus. Its description in RNAcentral is "eukaryotic LSU rRNA". It matches the Rfam family "Eukaryotic large subunit ribosomal RNA", at positions 40 to 398 of the family's 3401-position model. The record is from RNAcentral. Lineage: Eukaryota; Fungi.
AUAUCAAUAAGCGGAGGAAAAGAAACCAACAGGGAUUGCCCCAGUAACGGCGAGUGAAGCGGCAACAGCUCAAAUUUGAAAUCUGGCCCUAGGCCCGAGUUGUAAUUUGUAGAGGAUGUUUCUGACGAGGUACCUUCCGAGUUCCCUGGAACGGGACGCCAUAGAGGGUGAGAGCCCCGUACGGUUGGUCGCCAAGUCUCUGUGAAACUCCUUCGACGAGUCGAGUAGUUUGGGAAUGCUGCUCUAAAUGGGAGGUAUACGUCUUCUAAAGCUAAAUAUAGGCCAGAGACCGAUAGCGCACAAGUAGAGUGAUCGAAAGAUGAAAAGCACUUUGAAAAGAGGGUUAAAUAGUAC